CCUACGGGAGGCUGCAGUGAGGAAUAUUGGUCAAUGGACGAGAGUCUGAACCAGCCAAGUAGCGUGAAGGAUGACUGCCCUAUGGGUUGUAAACUUCUUUUAUAUGGGAAUAAACUGUUCCACGUGUGGGAUUUUGUAUGUACCAUAUGAAUAAGGAUCGGCGAACUCCGUUCCAGCAGCCGCGGUAAUACGGAGGAUCCGAGCGUUAUCCGGAUUUAUUGGGUUUAAAGGGAGCGUAGGUGGAUUGUUAAGUCAGUUGUGAAAGUUUGCGGCUCAACCGUAAAAUUGCAGUUGAAACUGGCAGUCUUGAGUACAGUAGAGGUGGGCGGAAUUCGUGGUGUAGCGGUGAAAUGCUUAGAUAUCACGAAGAACUCCGAUUGCGAAGGCAGUUCACUGGACUGCAACUGACACUGAGGCUCGAAAGUGUGGGUAUCAAACAGGAUUAGAUACCCCUGUAGUC
This 460-nucleotide ribosomal RNA is filed under the name uncultured bacterium. RNAcentral describes it as "partial 16S ribosomal RNA". It matches the Rfam family "Bacterial small subunit ribosomal RNA", at positions 338 to 795 of the family's 1533-position model. The record is from RNAcentral.